GGAUAACCCGCGGAAACGCGGCCUAAUACCCCGUGACGCCACCGGAGGGCAUCCUCCGGUGGCCAAAGGAGCGAUCCGGUGGCGGAUGGGCAUGCGGCGCAUUAGCUAGACGGCGGGGUGACGGCCCACCGUGGCGACGAUGCGUAGGGGUUCUGAGAGGAAGGCCCCCCACACUGGGACUGAGACACGGCCCAGACUCCUACGGGAGGCAGCAGUGAGGAAUAUUGGUCAAUGGGCGGAAGCCUGAACCAGCCAAGUCGCGUGAGGGAUUAAGGCCCUGCGGGUCGUAAACCUCUUUUGCCGGGGAGCAGUGGUCCGGACGCGUCCGGACCGGGAGAGUACCCGGAGAAAAAGCAUCGGCUAACUCCGUGCCAGCAGCCGCGGUAAUACGGAGGAUGCAAGCGUUAUCCGGAUUUAUUGGGUCUAAAGGGUGCGUAGGCGGGCAUUUAAGCCGGCGGUCAAAUGUCGGGGCUCAACCCCGGCCUGCCGUCGGAACUGGGUGCCUCGAGUGGGCGAGAAGUAUGCGGAAUGCGUGGUGUAGCGGUGAAAUGCAUAGAUAUCACGCAGAACCCCGAUUGCGAAGGCAGCAUACCGGCGCCCUACUGACGCUGAGGCACGAAAGUGCGGGUAUCGAACAGGAUUAGAUACCCUGGUAGUCCGCACAGUAAACGAUGGAUGCUAUCUGUCCGGGCCGAAUGAGGCCUGGGU
This 708-nucleotide ribosomal RNA is filed under the name uncultured bacterium. Its description in RNAcentral is "bacterial SSU rRNA". It matches the Rfam family "Bacterial small subunit ribosomal RNA", at positions 141 to 844 of the family's 1533-position model. The record is from RNAcentral.